GGGGGCGUCACGGUCUCGACGGGGAUUGUUGAGGUGAGGGCUGCGUGCCGAGGUUCCGACUGGGCUCGUUAAAAAAGUCGGGCUUUGAUAAGCGGAAACACCAACUACGCUUACGCCACUGCUUAAUUGACGGUGGCCGUUCCUCCAGCCUCCUCCCGUAAGGCUGGCCAGGGGCGUCGACUCUGCGGGAUAGCCGCCCGCUGAAGCUUAUAGGCGGAAGGCGAAAACUCAUAAGCUGGCGACCCGGGAAUCCUGCCGCGGGAGUCCCGGCGAGCGAGAUUCAAAACAACGGCUACGCACGUAGAUGCUCCUUGCCGAAAGUUUCCGGACGCGGGUUCGACUCCCGCCGCCUCCACCA
RNAcentral lists this transfer-messenger RNA (358 nucleotides) under Deltaproteobacteria bacterium. It matches the Rfam family "transfer-messenger RNA". From Rfam's summary of the family: Bacterial tmRNA, also known as 10Sa RNA or SsrA, is named for its dual tRNA and mRNA-like properties. The record is from RNAcentral. Lineage: Bacteria; Pseudomonadati; Myxococcota; Myxococcia.